This 253-nucleotide ribosomal RNA is filed under the name uncultured bacterium. RNAcentral's name for it is "partial 16S ribosomal RNA". It matches the Rfam family "Bacterial small subunit ribosomal RNA", at positions 524 to 776 of the family's 1533-position model. The record is from RNAcentral.
UACGAAGGGGGCUAGCGUUGCUCGAAAUCACUGGGCGUAAAGCGCACGUAGGCGGAUUGUUAAGUCAGGGGUGAAAUCCUGGAGCUCAACUCCAGAACUGCCUUUGAUACUGGCGACCUUGAGGCUGGAAGAGGUUAGUGGAAUUCCCAGUGUAGAGGUGAAAUUCGUAGAUAUUGGGAAGAACACCAGUGGCGAAGGCGGCUAACUGGUCCAGAUCUGACGCUGAGGUGCGAAAGCGUGGGGAGCAAACAGG